CCUACGGGUGGCAGCCGUGGGGAAUAUUGGACAAUGGGCGCAAGCCUGACCCAGCAACGCCGCGUGAAGGAAGAAGGCUUUCGGGUUGUAAACUUCUUUUAAGAGGGAAGAGCACAAGACUGUACCUCUUGAAUACGCCACGGCUAACUACGUCGCCGCAGGCACGGUAAGACGUAGGUGGCAAGCUUUUUCCGGAUGUACUGGGGUUAAGUGGCGUGCAGCCGGGAAGACAAGUCAGAUGUGGAACCCCUCGGCUCAACAGGGGAACUGCAUUUGAAACUGUUAUUGUUGAGGACCGGAGAGGUCAUCGGAAUUCCUUGUGUAGCGGUGAAAUGCGGAGAUAUAAGGAAGAACACCAGUGGCGAAGGCGGAUGACUGGACGGCAACUGACGGUGAGGCGCGAAAGCGUGGGGAGCAAACAGGAUUAGAUACCCCAGUAGUC
RNAcentral lists this ribosomal RNA (442 nucleotides) under uncultured bacterium. RNAcentral's name for it is "partial 16S ribosomal RNA". It matches the Rfam family "Bacterial small subunit ribosomal RNA", at positions 338 to 795 of the family's 1533-position model. The record is from RNAcentral.